AACACAGUCUGUAAUAUUUAAAUCUUGAAAUUUAUUUUAUAGCCCAGCAUGUGAUCCAGCUUGAUGAACAUUCCAUGUGCACGUGACAAGAAUGGAUAUUCUGCUGUUGUUGGCUGUAGUGUUCUAUGUCAGCCAUCCCUGUGGGGGUGUCAGUGAUGCUUGGACUCCACUAACUGCACCAUUGUCCUACUCCAUCUCCUUUGAGCCUGCUGUCAACCUCUGCACACAUGGCCUCAGCCCCUAGCCCUGGAUGACCACCAUUAGACCCAGCAGAACGGCAGCAGUGGUUUGCUGGCCCAGCACCUAGAGCUGCAGAAUAUGCUCCCUUGACCCUCAGGGAAAGAUGCAGAGCUAGUGAGACUUACUCUCCUCCACCACCAAAGUGAAGGUGAGUUUACCCUCUCCCUCAUCCCAGGAUCCUCCCUGAAUGGGCCGGGAGCUGCUGCUGACACAUCUCAGGACCGCCAGCUUCAGCCCCGCUCCCAGUGCCUUGUUAACGGUGAGAGCACUAGCGGAAAGAAAGGCGGCACGUCAGGGCAAAAGCAGCUUCUGAGGGCGUCUCCAAGCCCAGCCCUGCCUCCUUGGCAGUGAGGUAUGCCCGCAACCUCCACUUUGCUCUUAGUACUGGGGCCAAAGUAUCCUGGGUGUAAAAUGGGGAUGAUCCUUUCCAUGCCACGGGGUCCUGAGGAUCAUACACAACAGUGCCCCUAAAGCGCCUGGCACAGCACCUGACCGGAGCACACGGGCAACACACAGGCAACAAACAGGAGCUGGAAGAGUUUCCUGUGGCUGCCAGAACAAAGACAUUUGUCAUUGGAUUUAGGGCCCACCCAGAAUCCAGGAGGGGCUCAUCUUCAGAUCCUUAAUGACAUCUACAAAGACCCUUUAUCUAAAUAGGUCAGAUUCACAGGUCCCGGCGGUUAGGACAUGGACAUACGUUUUUGAGGGCGCCAUUCAACCCGCAACGGGAGCCAUCACAUUCUCAUUUCUCCUUCCUUAAUGUUCUCACGGGCCCAGCACACAGGCCAGGAUGGAGCAUUCUUUGAGGUGUUCCUGGGAGCCCAGCAACAGACUGGGUGUUCAGUGUGCCCCUGUCGGUCUCCACGUGGGCCCUGCAAGAAGGAGCCACCCCCGUUUUACGGGGGGUUCAGGGCUUGUGGCCAGAUGUGCAGCUAGGCCUGGAUCAGGCUCCCGUCCGGCCCCAGUGCGUCUGCCGUGCCCGUGACCCCAGGCUGUGUCUCUCAGAAUCCGCCAAGAUUCCAGGGCAGGUAACUGCAGAGCUCCCCCGAGUCCUGUGCACGCCUCGGCUCACACUGCAGCUCAGCAGCAGCAACGCGGGUGACAGAAACCAGCUCUGUGUCUGUGAGCCUCUGCCUCACCUUCUGGGGGAUGGCACAGUAUUGCUCCAAGACAUGCAAACAGCUGCGGGCAGCAGAGACAGUGAGGCAACCCUGCCACACUCUCCAACCAUGCCCUCCUCAGGCAUGCGGAGAAAGCACCCCUUCAUCUGUGCAAGGAAUCCUCAAGCAGCAGACAAAAUUCAUGCACUGUUAAUUCAGAUGUUACAGUCACAUCCAGUGCUAAGGGCUGUCCUUUGAAAACAGCUGAGGUAGACACAUCUUCCAAGAACAAAUCAUAGAAAUGUUACCAGGCGAUUGUCUUCACAACCUCUGCAUCAGUGAUGGGGACUUGGGGGUAAGCUUUUGGUUGGCGUUGUGAACAGUGCCAGCUCCCUAAAGCAAGCUUGCUUUUCUGUUGUUUGAAAUACUGCAGGAGAACUGAAAUUCUCUUAAAAUAUACCGGUUUCUGGUUCAAGAGAAAUACUUUUUUGCACCAAUUUAAUUCAGGUUUCUAAAGCCGAGGCAGGGAUGGCAUCACAGUCUGUUGAAUGAAUUCCAGCUCAUUUGGGGCCUUUCCAUGACAAAUCAUUCCUAAUGGAAUCUCUCCAAAGCACAGGGGAAAAAAUCGAAGGCAUCAAAGUGCCCUUUCCAUUUCAAUAAACUCCACUGGCCAGGAUUCUGUUUGCAUAACACAGAAUAAACAUGGAACCCAGGCCUGCCCAGCACAUUUACUCCCUGGUUAGCACCUCUGUUCACCUGUUUUCUCUUUUAUAUGAGUGACCAUUUCCUAAAACGCAAUCAAUCAAUCACUGUCAAGUAAGAUCUUGAAAUUAUCACCAUGGAGAAAAGACAUGAAGAGUCUGCAUUAAGGUAACGUGACCGGUGCCUAGAGUGAGGAAGGAGCACGUUCAGAAUGGUCCCGGGUCAUUUUCAAGACCUUCCCCCCGUCACUGUUGGAUGAAGUAAGGAGCCGGACAUCAGUGUUUAUUAAACCAGAUUUAUUCUCCACAAGCUGAAGAUACCUGAGGUUACAUGAGGACUGGCAUUAAAUAAUUUAUAAAUGUAUUUUU
This 2410-nucleotide long non-coding RNA is filed under the name Homo sapiens (human). Its description in RNAcentral is "HSALNT0144978". Lineage: Eukaryota; Metazoa; Chordata; Mammalia; Primates; Hominidae. The record is from RNAcentral.